AUAUUGGACAAUGGUCGCUAGCCUGAUCCAGCCAUGCCGCGUGUGUGAAGAAGGUUUUUGUAUUGUAAAGCACUUUAAUUUGGGAGGAAGGCCAGUUAACGAAUACUCAACUGUUUUGAUGUUACCAAACAAUUAAGCACCGGCUAACUUCGUUCCAUCAGCCGCGGUAAUACGAAGGGUGCAAGCGUUAAUCGGAAUUACUGGGCGUAAAGCGUGCGUAGGUGGUUCGUUAAGUUGGAAGUGAAAGCCCCGGGCUCAACCUGGGAAUUGCUUUCAAAACUGGCGAACUAGAGUACGGUAGAGGGUAGUGGAAUUUCCUGUGUAGCGGUGAAAUGCGUAGAUAUAGGAAGGAACAUCAGUGGCGAAGGCGACCACCUGGACUGAUACUGACACUGAGGUGCGAAAGCGUGGGGAGCAAACAGG
This 423-nucleotide ribosomal RNA is filed under the name uncultured bacterium. RNAcentral describes it as "partial 16S ribosomal RNA". It matches the Rfam family "Bacterial small subunit ribosomal RNA", at positions 361 to 776 of the family's 1533-position model. The record is from RNAcentral.